GACGAGGUUGUCGAGUGGUUAAGACGAUGGACUGCCAAUUCACUGGGUUCUGCGCGCGUGGGUUCGAAUCUCAUCCUCCUCG
Molecule: non-coding RNA, 82 nt
Organism: Paramuricea clavata
Lineage: Eukaryota; Metazoa; Cnidaria; Anthozoa; Malacalcyonacea; Plexauridae
Source: the annotation of a GenBank genome assembly